UGCCGCCAUGCAAACACGGCGCCACCUGCAGUCCUCACAACACCUGCACCUGUCCAGAGGGCACAGCAGGCCUACGCUGUGAGAGACUGACGUGCCCUGUGGUCACCACGGUGGUCAGUAUGGCUCGAGCAGUGAGAAAGGCAUUCAGGGAGAGUUAUGUUGACCGCUGUGGACCCCUGGGAGUUCAGCUUUGCACUAAAUACAGGAUAAACCAGGCUCGCGUGUACCUGCAGGCCUACAGGGUGGGCUACAAAAUCCAGUGUCCAGAGAGGAAGGGCAGAUGAAGGCCUUGUCACAAGGAACCAUCAGCCACCAACACAACCAACAUUUUGGGCAACAGACAACAAGUGAAAUGAGACUGAAAAUGAGAUGAAACUUAAUCAGUGUGAG
Molecule: long non-coding RNA, 390 nt
Organism: Seriola dumerili (greater amberjack)
Lineage: Eukaryota; Metazoa; Chordata; Actinopteri; Carangiformes; Carangidae
Exons: 3
Source: RefSeq, a predicted model, not a curated record